GUUUGGAUAGCUCAGUUGGUUAGAGCAAAAGACUGAAAAUCUUUGUGUCGGUGGUUCGAAUCCACCUCUAGACA
This 74-nucleotide transfer RNA is filed under the name Plasmopara halstedii. It matches the Rfam family "tRNA". Rfam says of the family: Transfer RNA (tRNA) molecules are approximately 80 nucleotides in length. Their secondary structure includes four short double-helical elements and three loops (D, anti-codon, and T loops). Further hydrogen bonds mediate the characteristic L-shaped molecular structure. tRNAs have two regions of fundamental functional importance: the anti-codon, which is responsible for specific mRNA codon recognition, and the 3' end, to which the tRNAs corresponding amino acid is attached (by aminoacyl-tRNA synthetases). tRNAs cope with the degeneracy of the genetic code in two manners: having more than one tRNA (with a specific anti-codon) for a particular amino acid; and 'wobble' base-pairing, i.e. permitting non-standard base-pairing at the 3rd anti-codon position. Lineage: Eukaryota; Oomycota; Peronosporomycetes; Peronosporales; Peronosporaceae. The record is from Rfam by way of RNAcentral.